This 2926-nucleotide ribosomal RNA is filed under the name Salmonella enterica subsp. enterica serovar Enteritidis. RNAcentral describes it as "bacterial LSU rRNA". It matches the Rfam family "Bacterial large subunit ribosomal RNA". The record is from RNAcentral. Lineage: Bacteria; Pseudomonadati; Pseudomonadota; Gammaproteobacteria; Enterobacterales; Enterobacteriaceae.
GGGUUGUGAGGUUAAGCGACUAAGCGUACACGGUGGAUGCCCUGGCAGUCAGAGGCGAUGAAGGGCGUGCUAAUCUGCGAUAAGCGCCGGUAAGGUGAUAUGAACCGUUAUAACCGGCGAUACCCGAAUGGGGAAACCCAGUGUGACUCGUCACACUAUCAUUAACUGAAUCCAUAGGUUAAUGAGGCGAACCGGGGGAACUGAAACAUCUAAGUACCCCGAGGAAAAGAAAUCAACCGAGAUUCCCCCAGUAGCGGCGAGCGAACGGGGAGGAGCCCAGAGCCUGAAUCAGCAUGUGUGUUAGUGGAAGCGUCUGGAAAGGCGCGCGAUACAGGGUGACAGCCCCGUACACAAAAGCGCAUGUGCUGUGAGCUCGAUGAGUAGGGCGGGACACGUGGUAUCCUGUCUGAAUAUGGGGGGACCAUCCUCCAAGGCUAAAUACUCCUGACUGACCGAUAGUGAACCAGUACCGUGAGGGAAAGGCGAAAAGAACCCCGGCGAGGGGAGUGAAAAAGAACCUGAAACCGUGUACGUACAAGCAGUGGGAGCACCCUUUGGGUGGUGACUGCGUACCUUUUGUAUAAUGGGUCAGCGACUUAUAUUCUGUAGCAAGGUUAACCGAAUAGGGGAGCCGGAGGGAAACCGAGUCUUAAUUGGGCGUUAAGUUGCAGGGUAUAGACCCGAAACCCGGUGAUCUAGCCAUGGGCAGGUUGAAGGUUGGGUAACACUAACUGGAGGACCGAACCGACUAAUGUUGAAAAAUUAGCGGAUGACCUGUGGCUGGGGGUGAAAGGCCAAUCAAACCGGGAGAUAGCUGGUUCUCCCCGAAAGCUAUUUAGGUAGCGCCUCGUGAAUUCAUCUCCGGGGGUAGAGCACUGUUUCGGCUAGGGGGCCAUCCCGGCUUACCAACCCGAUGCAAACUGCGAAUACCGGAGAAUGUUAUCACGGGAGACACACGGCGGGUGCUAACGUCCGUCGUGAAGAGGGAAACAACCCAGACCGCCAGCUAAGGUCCCAAAGUCAUGGUUAAGUGGGAAACGAUGUGGGAAGGCCCAGACAGCCAGGAUGUUGGCUUAGAAGCAGCCAUCAUUUAAAGAAAGCGUAAUAGCUCACUGGUCGAGUCGGCCUGCGCGGAAGAUGUAACGGGGCUAAACCAUGCACCGAAGCUGCGGCAGCGACACUGUGUGUUGUUGGGUAGGGGAGCGUUCUGUAAGCCUGCGAAGGUGGCCUGUGAGGGUUGCUGGAGGUAUCAGAAGUGCGAAUGCUGACAUAAGUAACGAUAAAGCGGGUGAAAAGCCCGCUCGCCGGAAGACCAAGGGUUCCUGUCCAACGUUAAUCGGGGCAGGGUGAGUCGACCCCUAAGGCGAGGCCGAAAGGCGUAGUCGAUGGGAAACGGGUUAAUAUUCCCGUACUUGGUGUUACUGCGAAGGGGGGACGGAGAAGGCUAUGUUGGCCGGGCGACGGUUGUCCCGGUUUAAGCGUGUAGGUGUGUGUUCCAGGUAAAUCCGGUUCACUUUAACACUGAGGCGUGACGACGAGGCACUACGGUGCUGAAGCAACAAAUGCCCUGCUUCCAGGAAAAGCCUCUAAGCAUCAGGUAACAUCAAAUCGUACCCCAAACCGACACAGGUGGUCAGGUAGAGAAUACCAAGGCGCUUGAGAGAACUCGGGUGAAGGAACUAGGCAAAAUGGUGCCGUAACUUCGGGAGAAGGCACGCUGACACGUAGGUGAAGUGAUUUACUCAUGGAGCUGAAGUCAGUCGAAGAUACCAGCUGGCUGCAACUGUUUAUUAAAAACACAGCACUGUGCAAACACGAAAGUGGACGUAUACGGUGUGACGCCUGCCCGGUGCCGGAAGGUUAAUUGAUGGGGUCAGCGCAAGCGAAGCUCCUGAUCGAAGCCCCGGUAAACGGCGGCCGUAACUAUAACGGUCCUAAGGUAGCGAAAUUCCUUGUCGGGUAAGUUCCGACCUGCACGAAUGGCGUAAUGAUGGCCAGGCUGUCUCCACCCGAGACUCAGUGAAAUUGAACUCGCUGUGAAGAUGCAGUGUACCCGCGGCAAGACGGAAAGACCCCGUGAACCUUUACUAUAGCUUGACACUGAACAUUGAGCCUUGAUGUGUAGGAUAGGUGGGAGGCUUUGAAGUGUGGACGCCAGUCUGCAUGGAGCCGACCUUGAAAUACCACCCUUUAAUGUUUGAUGUUCUAACGUGGACCCGUUACCCGGGUUGCGGACAGUGUCUGGUGGGUAGUUUGACUGGGGCGGUCUCCUCCUAAAGAGUAACGGAGGAGCACGAAGGUUGGCUAAUCCUGGUCGGACAUCAGGAGGUUAGUGCAAUGGCAUAAGCCAGCUUGACUGCGAGCGUGACGGCGCGAGCAGGUGCGAAAGCAGGUCAUAGUGAUCCGGUGGUUCUGAAUGGAAGGGCCAUCGCUCAACGGAUAAAAGGUACUCCGGGGAUAACAGGCUGAUACCGCCCAAGAGUUCAUAUCGACGGCGGUGUUUGGCACCUCGAUGUCGGCUCAUCACAUCCUGGGGCUGAAGUAGGUCCCAAGGGUAUGGCUGUUCGCCAUUUAAAGUGGUACGCGAGCUGGGUUUAGAACGUCGUGAGACAGUUCGGUCCCUAUCUGCCGUGGGCGCUGGAGAACUGAGGGGGGCUGCUCCUAGUACGAGAGGACCGGAGUGGACGCAUCACUGGUGUUCGGGUUGUCAUGCCAAUGGCACUGCCCGGUAGCUAAAUGCGGAAGAGAUAAGUGCUGAAAGCAUCUAAGCACGAAACUUGCCCCGAGAUGAGUUCUCCCUGAGACUUAAAGUCUCCUGAAGGAACGUUGAAGACGACGACGUUGAUAGGCCGGGUGUGUAAGCGCAGCGAUGCGUUGAGCUAACCGGUACUAAUGAACCGUGAGGCUUAACCUUACAACGCCGAAG